UGAUGUCUGGAACACAACAGGACAAAGGGUCACCUCCCAAACGCAUGAGUUCCUGUGGGGAAGAGAUCCCUACCCCCGGCCUGACUCCCCAGCAUGGGGCCCCACGCUUCAUCAGUGUUUUUUAAGAAAUGAUUAGACUCUUGAGCUCUACUGCAGAGGCUGGGCUGCAGCUGGAGCAAGCCGUUCCUGAAGCCCACUCAUUCAGCUCUGCUCUUCUCUGCCCUCUGGCUGGCAGCCCAGAUUUGAGCACAGCAGGGAGUGCUGAGAUGUGGGGUGGGCGGCAUCUCAGCAUCUUCCCCCCAGUCCUGGAAGGGCAAACUGGAGCAUAGACUCCAGGGGUCCUGGAGACCCAGCUCCUCUCUCUCCAGUUUGUUCACUUCUUAUUUCCCACCUUUAUAUCUUUUCCCUUCUCUUUUCCGUGCCCUUGAUAAGAGUCCUAAGGCCAAAGGCAGAGACCCCAACCGCCACUCACAUCUCCCAUGGGCACUGGGCUAUGCCUCACCAUCUCCAUGCCCCACCCCCCACCCCCCACCCCAGGCCCCUGUACCAUCACAAUUCUCCAAGCGGUUGGUGAAGAUGUCCCCAGAUAAAGAAGUGAACCCCGGAGAGCAGCGACAGGCCGUGGCGUUGACACAUCUGGAGUUCAGGGGGCACCAGCGAGCACAGUCUGUGGGGAUGGUGACCACAGUUGGAAGGUGAGGAAACAGGUCCAGAGAGUCCAGAGUCCCACGGGAGCUGGAGAGGCCCGAAGGGGCCCUUCAUGGGUGCUAGGCCGGCACCAAGAAGAGAAACGGCAGAGCCUCGGGGCCUCCAUGCUUCCAGAGCUGGCCUUUCUGGGCCAGCGCUUACCUUGGUGGGAAACUUGUAUUUCAGGGGCUUCUGGGCAGCAACAGGGAAUCACAAGAUAGAAGAGUUGUUUUCUUUCCUAAUAAGUCACAUGACUGGCUUGUC
Long non-coding RNA from Acinonyx jubatus (cheetah), 951 nucleotides. RefSeq lists it as uncharacterized. Lineage: Eukaryota; Metazoa; Chordata; Mammalia; Carnivora; Felidae. The transcript is spliced from 2 exons. The record is from RefSeq and is a predicted model, not a curated record.